Caenorhabditis elegans is the source of this 21-nucleotide non-coding RNA. NCBI's taxonomy places the organism in Eukaryota, Metazoa, Nematoda, Chromadorea, Rhabditida, Rhabditidae. The record is from Ensembl.
UUGGAUCAAAAAACAAAAACU